Small nuclear RNA from Gorilla gorilla gorilla (western lowland gorilla), 107 nucleotides. The record is from Ensembl. Lineage: Eukaryota; Metazoa; Chordata; Mammalia; Primates; Hominidae.
GUGCUUGCUUCUUGUGCACAUAUAUUAAAACUUCAAUGAUACAAAGAAGAUUAGCAUGGCCCCUACCUGAGGAUGACACGCGAAUUCAUGAAGCGUUCUACAUUUAA